GCCUGGGUGGCUCAGUCGGUUGAGCAUCCGACUUUGGCUCAGGUUACGAUCUCACAGUUCGUGGGUUCCAGCCCCACAUCAGGCU
This 85-nucleotide transfer RNA is filed under the name Felis catus (domestic cat). It matches the Rfam family "tRNA". From Rfam's summary of the family: Transfer RNA (tRNA) molecules are approximately 80 nucleotides in length. Their secondary structure includes four short double-helical elements and three loops (D, anti-codon, and T loops). The record is from Rfam by way of RNAcentral. Lineage: Eukaryota; Metazoa; Chordata; Mammalia; Carnivora; Felidae.